RNAcentral lists this ribosomal RNA (551 nucleotides) under uncultured Diversispora. Its description in RNAcentral is "SSU rRNA". It matches the Rfam family "Eukaryotic small subunit ribosomal RNA", at positions 548 to 1098 of the family's 1831-position model. The record is from RNAcentral. Lineage: Eukaryota; Fungi; Glomeromycota; Glomeromycetes; Diversisporales; Diversisporaceae.
UUGGAGGGCAAGUCUGGUGCCAGCAGCCGCGGUAAUUCCAGCUCCAAUAGCGUAUAUUAAAGUUGUUGCAGUUAAAAAGCUCGUAGUUGAACUUCGGGGUCUACCCAUUGGUCAGGCUUAAUUGUCUGCACUGGUGAGAUGGAUCUCUACCUUCUGAGGAACUUUCAUGCCAUUUAUUUGGUGUGGUUGGAAAUCAGGACUGUUACUUUGAAAAAAUUAGAGUGUUUAAAGCAGACUAUCGUCUGAAUACAUUAGCAUGGAAUAAUGAAAUAGGACGGACUGAUUCUAUUUCGUUGGUUUCUAGGAUCACCGUAAUGAUUAAUAGGGAUAGUUGGGGGCAUUAGUAUUCAAUUGUCAGAGGUGAAAUUCUUGGAUUUAUUGAAGACUAACUACUGCGAAAGCAUUUGCCAAGGAUGUUUUCAUUAAUCAAGAACGAAAGUUAGGGGAUCGAAGACGAUCAGAUACCGUCGUAGUCUUAACCAUAAACUAUGCCGACUAGGGAUCGGACGAAGUUAAUUUUAUAAUGACGCGUUCGGCGCCUUACGGGAAAC